GUAACUUCUCUUAUCUUAGGAAUGUGGACAUCUCUGUGAAGCCCAGCUCACAGCCAGAGACCUUGUUUGCACAUUUCUACAAACUACUAUACUGGAUAUGUUUGUGAAAACUAGUAAGGGGGGUGUCCAGCGCCUGGAGUGCUGCCCCAGACAGCAGUCAAGUAAAACAGGGCAACAAGAAAAUAGGAAGUUUAUCUACAUUGAACUUUUUUGCAGAGACUCUGUUGCUGACAGUCCUAAAAUCAGUCCUGGUGAAGAUUUCUGGAGAAGCCCAGUUAAGACUUUUCUGUGGAGAAAGGGUGUGCCACUUCAAGCACACACAAACUACAAAGGAGAAGCACCCAGCAAAUGAGCCCCAGAGUGAGGGGGAAAGACAGGAGGAGAGCUGAGAGGGUGGUCUCCCAAGCUAAUGAAAAGAGCUCCAGAAAGGAGGGAGAUCAAUGCUGAGAUCCUAGAAGAAACCCCCAGUCACUGUGGGUUUUUAUGAAAAUGAGGAGGGGAAAGAAAUUCUAAUCAGAGAGAGUUCAACAAGAAACAGAUAAUAAGAAAAUGGAGGUGGCACAUAAAGCAAGCUUCAAGGGUAAGUGGAAAAGGACUUGAGGAGGAGGGUACAGGAUCCAGAAAGGUCUUUUUGUUAGGUCUUUGUCUAAGGAGGACAUUAUCAUAGUAUGAUUUUAUACUGGGGGAAUAAUCCAGUAGAGGGAAAUGUGGCAAGUUCCAAUGAGGACAGGAAGGAAAGGGGGUCACUGGAGAACCAAGUCCUUUGAAAAUAAUUUACGUGCAGCACAGACUCUGCAGCAAAGCCAGAGAACCAGAACUGAAGUACCUGGAGAGCCGGUCACUCCACCUCUCAUCUUGUUUAUCUGCUUUCAACAAGGGCCUCUGUGGUCUUCCACCUCUUCAUCUCACUGAAGCCUUCCCUCAGCCUGGAGCCCCAUCAUUAGCUUCUUCCAAUCCCUUUAAUUACUGGGCCCCCUCUCACCACAGGCCUUCGCUAGCUCCCAGCAUUCAGCAAGUCUAGUUCCAACAUGUCUUCCUUGAGGAGGCUAUCAAAGUCACACCCCCCAUGAAAUGUUCCCAAGUUCCCAUGCAUUCUUUCUACUCAGCACAUCACAACCGCAACUGUAUUUUUCUUUAGCAUAAUUUGGUCAAUGUCAGCCUACCCCUCUAGAAUAGCACAGUCCAGCAGAACUUUAUGAGAUGAUGGCAGUGUCUAUGUCUGCACUGUCCAACCCAGUAACUACUAGUCACAUGUGACUAAAGAUAGCUAGUGCAAACACAGAUCUGGAGUUAUUUUAGUUAAGCUUAAUUAAUUUAAGUGUAAAUAGCCACAGGUAAGCAGGGGCUACGAUUAUUAUUUAUGCUCACCAUAGUAAGGGUUGGUCAUGUUCCCGACCCUUAUUACAGUGCACACACAUAGUAAUCACUUAGUAAAUAUUUGUUCAGAGAUCAAAUCUGUAAAAUGAAGACAUUGCAUUAAUUUAUAGAUUCUGUCUUUUUCCAGAGAAGAAAGGGAAAACGUUUUUACAUAACACAUAUUAGGUGGUACUCAGAUUUCCUAUAAAGAUGUAUUUGACCUUUAAGAAUUUGAUCUAUCUCAGAGGAAAGCUGGGAUAAUAAUGAGAACAUAGUGACGGUCCCAAUGAAAUGACAUCUGUAAUAUGCUUAGGAAAGUGCCUGGGCUAUAGCUAGUGCUCCAAGGUUGUGGUCCAUAAACUUCAGAGGUACACAGUAGAGAAGCACAUAAUGGUAAGGGAAAAUUGGAGAAGGCUUCUUAAAGCAAGUGAUAUUUGAACCAUAUCUGGAAGAGUAAUUAAAAUGGCAAAACUGGGAGGAAAUAAUGCCUAAGAAACUUUCAGUGGCUAGUAUGUACUGGGCUUUCCAUUUUUAAUUUAAUCCUCACAACCAUUGUUUCCCCCAUUUUACAGAUGGAAAAAAAACAGAGAUAUAAAGACAACCAGUUUCUUCCUCACAGCCACCUAGCUAAUAACUGGCAGAACUGAAUCUGACCCCCAGCCCAUGGCUCUUGCCAACAUGCUAUUCUACCUCCCGAGCAGAACUUCUCCGGGCAGAGGGGGCAAUAUGUACAGACACACAGGGUGUGUCUGCCCGGGGACUCAGGAGGAUAAAAGGAGACGAAACAAUACAGACACGCUGGAUUUAGCCUGGGGUUCACAAGGCAUGGGUUGUGUCUGACUCUUUCACAUAUAUUCUCAACGAAUCCUCAGAAUAAUGCAGGUAUUACACCCAUAUUGUGAUAUUAGAAACUGAGAUUCCAAAAAGCUAAGGAUCCUUCCAAAGCAGAUGAGUUCUGGAGUUGGGAUUAAAAAUCCAGGGGUGCCAAUCUCCAAACCCAUUGUCUGUCACACAGUUAAACAACCUACAGGGAGGUGUAGACUAAAAAGAGCAACAUGCUGUAGGAAAAAAAAAAAAAAAGCAAUCACUCUCUUCAAGUACCAGGAAGAGUCACUCACCAAACACCCACCUGAAAACCUUGAAAUCCUGCCUGGAGGAUCAUGACCCUGUGGAGGCUUCUCUCAUUGAACCCAGAAUUCAUCACUCCUUUUUCUUAUAUCAAGCUAAAUUAAAGCCUUCUGUUUACAUCUCCACUGCUCUUAGAACUUUCACUUAUUGAGCACCUCCAUGCCUGCGGCUUCACAUGUUCUCAUUGAUCCUCUCCCAAACCCCUUGUGAUUGUACCAUCAGCUCCAUUAACAAAUGAGUAACCCCAGGAUAAACGACUAGCCCCAGUCUCACAUCUGGCCAGGAUUUACCUUUGCACUGUCUUCUCUCAACCACAUAUAAUUUACUGACGGGCUGGUCUCUAUUUCCCUGGUACCUGGCACAGUGCCUUCCCCAGUAAAGAUUCACUCGAGAUUUGAAUCCAUGUGGUCCUUCAGCAGGCUUCUGAAUAUUCAUGAAGCAGAGCAGAGAAGAAAGCCUAUGGUGUUGUGGUGAGCCAGAGCUGAAUGGGCUUCCUCCCGGAAGCCCAGAUUUGUAGCACUCCAGUCUCUGUGGUAUAAACACUCCCAACCUUGGCUGAUUUCAAGCUAUCAUCUACUUGCAAAAUUCCUGAAUGUUUAAUAAUGCCAGUUCCAGCACACUGCCCCAAAUCUCAAGGUUGCAUAGCCUGGCCUUUCUGUUGGCAAGCUUCUGCCACCUCUCCAUGCCUUGGUUUACUCAUCUGUCAAGUGGUGAUAAAUAUAGUAUCUAUACCUCGUGUGAUAGUUGUGGAAAUUGGAUGAGUAAAAAGCUGUGAAGGCUAAGAGUGUAAAGGAUUUGUGCUAUUCACAUCACCAUGUCCUUCUGCGUGGUAUAAGUCCAUGAAGGCUUAGUGCAAUUACGAUGCUGGAUUUUCCCCUUUUAUAAGUUAGUCAUCCACAGCAACUGUCAACAAUGUGUUACACUAGCACUGCUGGAAACCUAACUUGAAGGAGAGCAUUCAUUUUCCUUCUAAUUGCCAGUCCAUAGCUAGCCAUGCCAUUUUCCACAGCACAUGUAUUCUCACACUUUGAGCUUUAUCUUUUCCUGGGAAAAGAAAAAUAUGAUUUUCUUAAACAACUUGCUAAAAGAAGUGGAAGGAAUAUGAGGAAUUUAUAAAUGAGUAGAGGCACUUCGUAUUAUGUGUACAUAGGUACAAAAUGCACAUACACUAUUGCAUGCACAAAUAUUUCCCUUCUGAUGCAUGGUGAGGCAUGCCUGUAAUCCCAGCAGCUCAGGAGGAAGAGGCAGGAAGAUCAUGAGUUCAAAGCCAGCCUCAGCAACUUAGUGAGUCUUCUAAGCAACUCAGUGAGACACUGUCUCUAAAUAAAAUACAAAACAGACCUGGGGAUAUGGCUUGGUGGUUAAGCACCCCCUGGGUUCACCCCCAAUACCCAAAAAAGAAGAAAGAAAUAUUCCCCCUUUGCACUCCAUUUGUCUUACUUAGGUUUCUCGGUGUCCAUUUCAAUUCCAGAGGAAGGGAAAGUUUUUUCAUAGGAUGCCCUUGGACAGAAAUGCCUCAGGAGGUGCAGGCUCCAUCCCAGUCAUCUCUCAGAUGGUGUGUCUUAUAAUUCUGGAGACCAGCCACCCUCAACCUCAGUCAAGAGGUUGUAUAAGUAUUAAUUAAUAAUGGUAAACAGCUUUCAGAUAUGAAAGAACUAUAACAUAGCUUAUUAUUAACCUCUAAAUUCUUAAAUGUUAUUAGGUAGUUGAUAUUAAGAGGAACAUCCCACAGUAAUUUCUCCCAGAGCUGAAUGAAACUAGCCAAUUGAUGACUGUAGGUCAUUGGUGGUGGGCUGGGGACACCUCCUGGAGCUGAGCCUGGCACAGUCCUGUAUCCUCUGGUUGGUAGAUAAUACUGAAUAAGAUAGGAUAGUUAGUAGGUCCCAAUGAAGACUUUUUUUUUUUCUUUUUAAUGUAAAGGCCACUCCAUGAGGUUAACCAUUAGAAACAUUCCAACCAACUCCUCUGUCCUGGGGUUAUGGGACUAGGGAAGCAGAACACACCUGAGUAGUAAAGGCUACAGACUCAAAGGCUAACCAAUAUCCAAUACCCAUUUAGUAUGGGUUUUUGUUUAAUGCCCCUAACUACAAGCUAUAUAAGCCUCUAGACUAGUACAUUUAAGUAGUAACCUGCUCCCAGGUCCCCUCGUACCUUGCAAGAGUUCUAUCUUUUUCCUUCUCACUUCAUAAAUCCUAUUUCUUUCACUCUUACUUUCCAUUGUGGCCCAUGGAUUUCAUUCUUCAAAUUUAUGAGACAAGAACCCAGAAAGUAAUUGUCAGUGAGCAUUUAGAUCCAACAUUAGUAGCUGCAACACACCACUGGAUGGAAGUGGAGAAGGAUCCGGGUUUUCUUGCAGCUAUCUUUGGAGCUGACACUAGCAAGUAUCUCCUGCUGUAAUGAGCUGCUAACAUUAAAAUGGGAUUUAACUGCAGAGGCCUGCAGCCUACAUGGACCUCACCUUCCAGCAGAAGCAGAGAGUUGAGCUUCAUUUCAGACUCCAAUUUCAAUACUCUAGGCCCUGGAUUGAUCUGAGGGAACUAUAUCUCACUUAGAUCUAUUAAGACUAAUUUUUCUAUUAAAGACAGAAGAGAGCUUUGUAGUUUUCUGGGUUGGGGAUAUAGCUCAGUGGUAUAAUGCUUGCCUAGCAUGUGAAGCUUAGGGUUUGAUUCCCAGUAUCAUGUAAUUUUCCACCAUAUACUUCUGAAUUCUUUCAUCCACAGAUUUUAAAUGUUUAUUUAAUCUCUCAAUAAUCUCAGGAACUCUCUGAGACUGUAUUGUAAUGAAGGAGGUUGGACUACCUCCUGCUGUCCUUGAUCCGGUUCAAGGUUAACCAUUUAAAUGGGUUUCUUUUUGCUCAGAAGUAUAACAUACAUGAGGCUUCUAGUUCAGCAUUUUUUAGUCAUUGAAUCUUCUAAAAAAGUCAAGUAUUUCCCAUCUCAUUAUCAUCUGUGGUCUUUAUAUAGACUAUAUUAUGGUUCCUCUAUACUUAAGAUUUUUUUUAAAUAAUUUCUUGAGACAGAGGUCUUGCUAUGGAGCCUGGAUAGCCUCAAACUCCUGCUCAAGUGACCCACAGCAGCCUCUUGAGUACCUGCGUCUGUAGAUGCACACCAUUCCCCCUGGCUUAUACUUAUGGUUUAAAUUAGAGACACAUGUAAUGUCUAAUUGAAAUUAUGGUGAUAAUUUUUCAGAUGAACCAAUCUCAGCUGUUCCACAGGAAAAACAAAAUGUGAUUGGCAUCACAAACUAAACUCUAGGCCAUUGAUUUCCUAAAAUAAAGAAAUGAAGAUUUCAUUUCCAAGUCUGCUUUCAGCAUGUGUGUGUAUGUGUGUGUGUUUACAUAUUCAGAUACAUACACACACACACACACACACACACACACACACAGAGCUGUGAAUGAACUGUGGGCGUGUCUAAGCCAUCUCUAAGUGGAGGUGCAGCCUUCAGAGAACUCUUGGUGUGAUCUCACCAAUCUGAGACUGCUUUGUUGCCUUAGCAAAUGUCCUGCUCAAAAAGAAUUCUGUGAUAUCACAGAAUUUAUUGGUUCAGACAGCCCUAGGUUCAAAUGCAACUCCCCAGAAGUGGAGAGAGACACCAGUGCCCAACUAUCCGGGUUGCGUCAGCUGCCUGGAGGAGGAAGAAUGACUGCACAAGUGGGAAAGAAAGAAAGAAGGAAGAAAUGAAGGAAGGAAGGGGAAAAGAAGGGAAGGGAAGGAAGGAAGAGAGAGAAACAACUUGUCUUUCAGAAGAAUCUCAUCUUCGGGAUGCAAAGAAGAUCUGGGGCUCUUGUUCACAGACUUUCCUAGAGUUCUCUUAUUUGUUCCCAAGCUGGAAGUUUUACUCAUAGAUUAAACCUUCCUAAACCUGCAUCUCCAGCUCACCCAUAUCUACACAGUCACUGGCCUAUAUACCCACCUUGGAUGAUCACAGAUGCUAUCCAAACCAAAAUCAUUACCCUCUGUAAUCUAAUUCUGUUUCCUUUCUCCAUGAAUAAUAGCUACCGUCAUCUACCCUUCUUCAUGACAGAAAUCUGAGCAGCACCUUGAUUUCUCCCUCUCCUUCAUUACACGCUAGAUUGUGAUUGUCCAUCUCCCCAUUAAAACUUUCUCCUAAGGAGGAAUCAGAUCUUA
This is a long non-coding RNA of Ictidomys tridecemlineatus (thirteen-lined ground squirrel), 6611 nucleotides long. RefSeq lists it as uncharacterized. NCBI's taxonomy places the organism in Eukaryota, Metazoa, Chordata, Mammalia, Rodentia, Sciuridae. The record is from RefSeq and is a predicted model, not a curated record.